RNAcentral lists this ribosomal RNA (504 nucleotides) under uncultured bacterium. RNAcentral describes it as "bacterial SSU rRNA". It matches the Rfam family "Bacterial small subunit ribosomal RNA", at positions 21 to 523 of the family's 1533-position model. The record is from RNAcentral.
GGCUCAGGAUGAACGCUGGCGGCGUGCCUAACACAUGCAAGUCGAGCGAAGCACUUUACUUCGAUUCUUUCGGGAUGAAGAGUGAUUUGACUGAGCGGCGGACGGGUGAGUAACGCGUGGGUAACCUGCCUCAUACAGGGGGAUAACAGUUAGAAAUGACUGCUAAUACCGCAUAAGCGCACGGGAACGCAUGUUUCUGUGUGAAAAGCCGAGACGGUAUGAGAUGGACCCGCGUCUGAUUAGCUAGUUGGUGAGGUAACGGCCCACCAAGGCGACGAUCAGUAGCCGACCUGAGAGGGUGACCGGCCACAUUGGGACUGAGACACGGCCCAAACUCCUACGGGAGGCAGCAGUGGGGAAUAUUGCACAAUGGGGGAAACCCUGAUGCAGCGACGCCGCGUGAGUGAAGAAGUAUUUCGGUAUGUAAAGCUCUAUCAGCAGGGAAGAGAAUGACGGUACCUGACUAAGAAGCCCCGGCUAACUACGUGCCAGCAGCCGCGGUAA